Molecule: transfer RNA, 75 nt
Filed under: Prosthecobacter dejongeii
Lineage: Bacteria; Pseudomonadati; Verrucomicrobiota; Verrucomicrobiia; Verrucomicrobiales; Verrucomicrobiaceae
Description: tRNA-Trp
Source: RNAcentral
GCGGCGGUGGUAGACAAGCAAUGCACAGGACUCCAAACCCUGGAAAUGUAGGGGCAGUACCCACCCGCCGCGCCA